CCGAACCAAAACUGGACUUCCGCCAUUUCCCCCCUCUCACUCACCGUGAACAGACCAGCACGGCAGCGCCCAAGUCCUCCCAUAGAAAUAGUUCGGUUCUUGGGUGUUCUAACCAACACCAAAGUCUAUUCAUUUUACCAGGGAACAACAAGUGAGGAUUUGUGGGUCACUUUUAUUUUUAACGGACCGGUGCCAGAAACACUGCCUCAGCAUUUAUACGUAUGUGCAUUUCAAACGAGGGUGCGUACAAUGCUGGAUUUGUUUCACGGCUCCUGUUGGAAAAAAAGGACCUAUUCCUAAAGUCCGUCAUCCACUCACUGAAGAGGGCAAAUCCCAGUUGCCCACAUGCAAGGAGGCUGUCAAACAGAGAAAUCACUGCAGACUGUUGGUACACGGACAUCUGCUGCCCAGCUCAGGAGUGAAGGUGAUGGUGAGGACAGCCACAGCUUCCAUCUGGUAGAGGACUGCUUCCGCUCAGUCUUCCAAAUAGUGAUGAGAACAAGGAUCACCACAUC
This is a long non-coding RNA of Betta splendens (Siamese fighting fish), 515 nucleotides long. RefSeq lists it as uncharacterized. The record is from RefSeq and is a predicted model, not a curated record. The transcript is spliced from 3 exons. Lineage: Eukaryota; Metazoa; Chordata; Actinopteri; Anabantiformes; Osphronemidae.